GCGCCCGUAGCUCAGUUGGAUAGAGUAUCGGUUUCCGAAGCCGAGGGUCACUGGUUCGAAUCCAGUCGGGCGCGCCA
Molecule: transfer RNA, 77 nt
Filed under: Steroidobacter flavus
Lineage: Bacteria; Pseudomonadati; Pseudomonadota; Gammaproteobacteria; Steroidobacterales; Steroidobacteraceae
Also listed under: 2 other names
Description: tRNA-Arg
Rfam family: tRNA
About the family: Transfer RNA (tRNA) molecules are approximately 80 nucleotides in length.
Source: RNAcentral